UCGCUGAUUCCUCUGUUCGAUUCCUUCUUCUUCCUCGACGCCGCCACUUUCUUUCCUUCCUCUUUGCCGAGCGACGUCGCCCUUCCUUUUCCUCUCUUCUGGCCGACACUGCCGAGCUCUCCCCUCUGCUCAUCCUUUUUGCUCUUCCUCGAUCAACCGACGCCAGCAGAUGAAAGCCACCCGAGCGCCACUCGAUUGCCGACGCCGACCCUGAGCUCCGAUCCGACCGUCACAUUCCUCUCCUGGUCGUAGACACUCAGAGUUUGCUGGAAAUUGAGCAAGGAGCCCUGGAUCUUGCCAACACCUCCUAUCUUUGUCUUCUCUUUGAGCCUUCUCCUUACAUCCUCGCGAACACAUCACGUCGCUCGCCCUCGUGUGUCGGCGCCCUUGCCAACGCCGCAAAUCGAUGCCAUCUCCCGAUUAUCUUCUCUGAUUGCUUGAUUGCCACAGUAGCCACGCGCCACACUGCCCCGAUCCACCGUCGCUCACCCUCAUUCUACAUCGCCAGUGCUGUUCUGCUACACUGCUGGCUGACUUUCGGAUAAGGGCAAGAGGUAGCAGCUUCGUGCCCUAGCUCCAUACCGCUGCUAACUCUCACAAGUUCCCAUCUCUCGAUCUCUGUAGCUCCUGUGGUUGGCCUUCUUCCAUCCUCAACUAAAUCAUCAGUCGUUGCCCUUUCCUCUGUGACCACUGUAGCGACUCCGUCGAGUAGUUGCGGAUUUCGUUAAGGGGACUUAGAUUCGGGACGAGCGUCUCGACGUGGAUUGUCUGAUAUGAUCUUCCUUUUAAGACAGGUGACAUGUUGUAUAUGGUCUGACUAUCCUUAUGUUCAGAUAGGAGGUCUUGGCAUCAGGUAGAUAUUUGUGGAGUCGCUUGGAGUAUCCUGUCUGUCGGUUCCCACGUCACAUCCGAAGACCUAUUUUCUGGUUUCUUUAGUACUUUAUUUGGUUUAUGUAUUCGGUGUACUUAGCUUUGUAUAUUCCAAUUUUGUUUCUAGAUUGUUGUGAUAUGGUGUCUUGUAUUAUUUUGUUGUGUGGUGUAAGCCUAGCCGGCAAGCAGUCUUAUUUUGUUUGUUUGUAAUGGUUUCUAUCGUUUUCCACUCUGUUUUUUGUUUGUUUUUUUA
Long non-coding RNA from Zingiber officinale, 1123 nucleotides. RefSeq lists it as uncharacterized. The record is from RefSeq and is a predicted model, not a curated record. The transcript is spliced from 4 exons. NCBI's taxonomy places the organism in Eukaryota, Viridiplantae, Streptophyta, Magnoliopsida, Zingiberales, Zingiberaceae.